Molecule: ribosomal RNA, 239 nt
Filed under: uncultured bacterium
Lineage: Bacteria
Description: partial 16S ribosomal RNA
Rfam family: Bacterial small subunit ribosomal RNA
Source: RNAcentral
UGGGUAACCUGCCUUAUAGUGGGGGAUAGCCUUUCGAAAGGAAGAUUAAUACCGCAUAAGAUUGCAGUAUCGCAUGAUAUAGCAAUUAAAGGAGCAAUUCGCUAUAAGAUGGACCCGCGUCGCAUUAGCUAGUUGGUGAGGUAAUGGCUCACCAAGGCGACGAUGCGUAGCCGACCUGAGAGGGUGAUCGGCCACAUUGGGACUGAGACACGGCCCAGACUCCUACGGGAGGCAGCAUG